RNAcentral lists this ribosomal RNA (305 nucleotides) under uncultured bacterium. RNAcentral describes it as "bacterial SSU rRNA". It matches the Rfam family "Bacterial small subunit ribosomal RNA", at positions 333 to 637 of the family's 1533-position model. The record is from RNAcentral.
UUAGCCUACGGGACGCAGCAGUGAGGAAUAUUGGUCAAUGGGCGAGAGCCUGAACCAGCCAAGUCGCGUGAGGGACGACGGCCCUACGGGUUGUAAACCUCUUUUGCCGGGGGACAAACGGCGGCACGCGUGCCGUCCUGAGGGUACCCGGAGAAAAAGCAUCGGCUAACUCCGUGCCAGCAGCCGCGGUAAUACGGAGGAUGCGAGCGUUAUCCGGAUUUAUUGGGUUUAAAGGGUGCGUAGGCGGGAUGCCAAGUCAGCGGUCAAAUACGGGGGCUCAACCUCCGUCCGCCGUGGAAACUGGG